UUAGCGACCCAUCCCUUAAAGAGAAGGAAGCGCCUAAGAUUCGUAAAUGCUUAUUUGGUCGAAAGCAACAACAAAACUCAGAGGGCCCGCAAACAAACAGGAAGUUUUAUUAGUAAAUUACACACUUGGUGUGGAAGUUGUUGUGUUAGUUCCUAUACCUGCUACAUAAGUACAAGGCAGUGCGUUUUGGAUAAGGGGUGAAAGAAAAGAGAGGAAUUAAAGAGAAAGACAUGAAUUAAAGAAAGAAAGAAAGAAAAAGGAAAAGAAAGGGAAAACAGAAAACCAGUCCUGGUUCCAGGGUUCAUCCCUGAGGUGUUGUCAAUCCUGGUUUCAGCAUCAAUCCAGCUGUGCUGGUCCAGCUGAUGAGAAGUUCAGGGUCCUGGGGGUCUGUUUCCAUGUAGCUAAUGUCCAGUGUGGCACACUGAAUGUCUGUUUUGGCUGUAUUUAUCGUGUAUUUACAUGCAGACGUUAUUGUCCAUUGUUGUUAACAAGUCUGUAGGCAAAGGAAGCGCUUCAGGUCAUGCAGAGAGUAUGAAAUAGUGGUUCUGUAGGCAUCUCUGUAGGAUGUUUUUAUCAUAGUUCUGCCAUGUAAUUUUUAGAAUUUUCUGCUCUAACAAUGUUUAGAACUGGUGUUAUUCUUGAUUUCAGUAAACUGGUGCAAUCUAUAGAUAGUUAAUCUCACUUUUUACUUUGAGCAGAAAUUUUAGCUCCUUGAUAUCUUUCACAACUGGUGCCUUUUUUUUUUUUAAUAGGUAAAUAUUUUUACUAAGUUUAUGUAUGGUUUGCAAAACAUUCCUUAAGUCACUGGACAAAAUCUAAUUUCACUUAAAGGUCUUCUUCUAAUUAAUUUGAUUGACUUGCCUUAUUUUUCUUGAAGGAAGACUUUCUUAUUUUGAAAUUCAGACUUAAUCUAAUGAAUACCAAAAAUAAAUAAAAUGGAAACAUCUUUCUGAUAGAUCACUUUGCAAGUAACAGCAGCGUAGUGGAUAGGGUCAAACCAGCAUGGCAGGAAUUCCAGAGUCACAGACCCUGGCCACACUUGUUUGUCCCCAGCCUUGGGAAGCUCAUGCAACAGGUAACUAAGGAAGUUGAUAAUCAGACCUUUUAGACCCUGACCAGUGCCAUGGAGUUCUGAGCUGCUAAACUGCAGAGGUAGGGAGAUGAACUAUCCAGGAGAGUGGCAGAACAGUUGUGAGGAAGACAUGGCAGGAGCCUGGAACACCUGACAGGAAGAGAAAUAUCUUUUCUAAGACUGGAGAGAAUAAAUCAUUAAGACUGCUGCUGCAAAGGACUGUUGAAAAAGGGGGAAAAAAGUUUAAUUGCAAGAGUGGAGAGGAAACCCUGUAAAACGACAAAUUAAAUAAAUGAAAAGGCUUUUCACAUUGUACCUAUACAGAAAGGCUGAGCAGAUUGUUUAUAUAACUAUAGUUAUUAGCUAAAAUAACUCUCUUCCUCUUCUCUGUAUGUUCAGUUGAUAAUCAUGUACUUGUAAACGAGCAGUACUGCACACACUGCUGUUGGAAGUGUUUUGUAAUUUGGAUAUGCAAAAAGACAUAGCAUGAGUUAUCAGGACUAGUGUUUGGAUAUAUGAUAAUCAAAUUAAUUUAAAACAAUAUCUAUUUUCUUUCCCACAUGGACUUAUUUUUAGAAAAUAAGUAAAAUGUCCAAAUCAUGAUCAAUGUGGUAAUUUAAAUAUUACAUUAGUUAUCAAUGUCAGAGGACAUUUUAUGAUUUUUGUUUUAUGUAAGCCCAAUAACCACUUUUUUAGUGUUUGGACUACUUUCUUCUUUCUACAUAGAAGAAAGAAAGGAAUGUUCAUUCUCUUGCCUUGUUCACCUUGCCUAAUCUAUUUAGGUCCUGAAUGAAAGCUCUUGAAUGCUAUUAGAAGUGGUGAAUAAAAGUUUUUACCACAGCUUGAGACACUGAUCUGCAAACCAUAAUGAUGCAUAAUGAAUCAUUGUGCCUUUUUCUCACAGUAUUUUUUUUCAGAAUCAUUGAUACUAUAUGAAAUAUGCAGAUUUAAGAUCACACAUAAGUAUGUAUGGACCUACGACUUUUUUCGUCUAAGACUGACACCAACCAACCCUCCUCAGCAGCUGCACAGUCAUUGAGCUACUUUAAUUCUGUAAGCAUAUUCUCAUUUAUCUGAAGGACUUCGUAGCAGUUGUGGUGUUGGUAUGUGUAACUAGGGACUUAAGCCAAUCUGAAAUGGGUUGAUGUGUCAUCUAAGCUUCAUGAGGGACUGAUCCAAUGUGGAUACGUGGAUAGUUCCUUAAGAAAAACAAAACCAAAAUCAUGAACAAAAGAAAACAGAGUAGCAAUGAACACUGUUAUUCAAAACCAGGUUGCUCAUGAUUCAGUGGUUAGCAUAGUGGUUAGACUAGUUGGACAAGCAGGAAAAUGGGAUUCAGGUGUGUCCUCAUUCAUAUCAAUGUCUCUUCCUUCCCAUGACCAUAUGUUAAUCACCAGACCAGUGUCUAGGCUGGAGUAUGGUGAGAAGGGAGCUAAGGGCAAAGUCCCCCUCUGCGUCCUCACAGAUUUGACCAAGAGAAAAUAAAUGUUCAGAGGCAGGAGACAACAUGGUUGUAACCUAACGUCUGUGGUACUCUGGAUGCGGGAGCAAGUUGCUCUGGAUUUCAGUCUAUUCAAAAGAGUAGUUUUGAAUUUUGUUACAUAAUCAUGAGAAAAGAGACAGGGCUAAUCUUGAAAGCUAGAGCACAAAACUUGGCAGGUGCUAUAACUGCUUGGGUGUUGCAUAACAUACCCCCUCCCACAGCAGCUGCAUUUCAAAAGGAGUGAGUAGUGUUCUGUUCUUCAAAGGCUACUUUAGGCACUGCCUCAGGAGAGGACUCCCAAUUUUUGGCUCCUGAAUAGAUGAAGAUGCCACCUUUGUGGUGCUGACUCAGACAUCUUGGCUUUAACAGGGCGACAGCCACACCUCCCUGUACAGAAUUUCCUCUUGGCUUGGUGACUCCUCGUUAGCAUGUGUAUUUUAUGAAUUCCUAAGUCUUGCUUAAUUUUGAAAAAAAGAAAAGUAUUUGAUUUAAAUACUGUUCUGGACAUUUUAUAUCCAGAACAUUUUGCAUAUUUUAUUUGUAACCAGAAUUUUUCCUGUUUUUCCCUCCUAUUUCUUUAGACACACUGACAUCUCUAGCAGUACCACUUUUUCAGUAUGAAAAUGACUGGGAGUGAUUACUUUUAUUUUAAAGUAGUCAAGAAGCAACUUGUUUAUGAUAAAAACAAGGUUACAGGUAUGGGAAAACCAUCCUACUUACACUUAAAAAUUAAAUUAAUGCUACCACAAUUUAUGGGAAUUGACCCUGAAGCAUUUUUGAAUGUUAACAGCUAUUUUGUUAAAAUUUUAUUAAAAAAAAGGUCAGAUGAAACCUUUUUCUUUUUUUCUUACCACCAUGCAAAUUGAUGAACUUUAAAAUUAAAACUUGUACAUAUUAAUGGGCAGAAAAUAGCAGUUAUGUUUUGUUAAAAAGUGUAAGACAAAUAUUCUGUCUACCUAAAGCAAGCUAGUUUAGCAGGAAGUCUUCUGAAUGCCAAAUUCUGCCUCAUGUAUUCACAAAAGUAGCACUUCAUUUUGCAAGCUGAUUAAUUAAUUAAUUUCCUUGACUUGUUAGGUUAAAGGUUGAAGGAACAAAGUUUUUGGGCGUGAUGCAAUUUUAUUGUACAGUUUCAUUUUAACAGAAGCUUUUAAACUUUUUUAAGUUUUUUAGAAAAUCUCACUAAAAUGGCAAAAGCUCAGAGCCUGUACUUGUAGAGGUCUUUCUUACUGAUCUGAAGAGAAAUGAAAUACUAGAGAGAAAACAGA
Long non-coding RNA from Pipra filicauda (Wire-tailed manakin), 3820 nucleotides. RefSeq lists it as uncharacterized. NCBI's taxonomy places the organism in Eukaryota, Metazoa, Chordata, Aves, Passeriformes, Pipridae. The record is from RefSeq and is a predicted model, not a curated record. The transcript has 2 exons.